Manacus vitellinus (golden-collared manakin) is the source of this 1363-nucleotide long non-coding RNA. RefSeq lists it as uncharacterized. Lineage: Eukaryota; Metazoa; Chordata; Aves; Passeriformes; Pipridae. The transcript is spliced from 3 exons. The record is from RefSeq and is a predicted model, not a curated record.
AUGGUGAUAAUUUCCAUGACAACACAGAAAGAUUCCAGAAACAGAGAUUUCUGACUAAAUAUAUGAAGGUUGUUGAAAAGCACAACUGUAAGAAUUCUGCCUACUCACUGGGAAUAACAGACAGAAGAGUUAAGCCUCUGUGUGUGUGACAAUGCUGGUACCACCUGUAAAGUCCUGGGAUUCCCGUAUCCUGGUUAUCCCAGACGUGCACAGGGAUAGGAACUGGGCAUCCUCCCUACCUGAGUGCUUCAGGAACUGAUCCAAAGAGAAACCUCUGGAUGGACAACUGUUAAAGAGAACGUGACUCGGGGAAAAAGGAAGCCUUCAAAAGAAUGAGAAGUGUGAGAAACUGCCUACAAAAUGCUGCUCCAAGGACCUAUUUUGCCCAAAUAAUCGCUUUCAAAAACAGUCAACAUGCUUUUAAAGAAAAAUAACCUGGAAAAAUAGUGAUAUAAAAGCUCCCUUUGAAGAGACCCUGUAAGGCUGAAGCUUGCAUUUGAACAAAUCUCUCCCUAAGUUUCUAAGAACACUUUCUAAACUGCCGUUUAAAACCUUUCAGUUACUACUUUUUGCUAUUUAUGCUCUUCAUUGACUUUUUGCCUUUAUUUUCCACUCCUGUGACCAAACAAAUCUCGUACCUUUUGCUUGCUCAGUACAGCUCACGUUGUUCUCCUCAUGCCCUGCUGCAGUUCAUUGCCUGUGUUUGGGAACACCACCAUCCCCAAGAGAAGCAGGAUUUAAUUACUUUUAUUAAUGAAAUCCACUUUUGAAGACUAAACCAUUUGACUAUGUCCCUUUCAAAAUGGAAAUAACUGGGGACAAAACCUAUUUUUAAAAAUCGCAGUUUGCAAAUUCUUGUCUCAAAGAGCAAAUUCUGUGAGUUCCUCUGCAGACCCAGUAAGUUCUGCAGGUUUCUUUGCAGAACCAGCUCAGACUUUAUAGGAAAAUGUAAAGACCAAGUGGAAGAGCCUCUCACACAACCUAAAUUGUUACAGCUCGUCGCCUUUCUGGGGAAAACAAUUGCUGUGGCUCCCUCAGAGCGCGGUGGCAGAUUUCCCUUUGGAGGUCAGGGCCUGUUUCAAGCGUCUCUUCAGGUCCUGCAUGUUGGGGGACUUGGGCCGGAUGAGGUGGAGGCCGCGGCGCUUCUCUCCGUUGCAGCUGCCGAUGAUCCUGCUGAGCUCCUGGCACAGCUGCUGGAAGGCCUCGUGCACGCCCUCGCAGUUCUCCCGGGCCGACACCUCGUGGUAAGUGCCCCCCAGCUCCCCGGCCAGCUGCAGCCCCUCCUUGGAGGACACCUGCCUGGCCCGCAGCAGGUCGCCCUUGUUGGCCACGAGCAGCAGGGGGAUGUUGGCGUUGGGGUGGA